Non-coding RNA from Elaeis guineensis (African oil palm), 419 nucleotides. The record is from RefSeq and is a predicted model, not a curated record. NCBI's taxonomy places the organism in Eukaryota, Viridiplantae, Streptophyta, Magnoliopsida, Arecales, Arecaceae.
CAACCGCGAAGGCAUCAUUUUUGAGGAUUCCAGAAGUUGAACAGAAUGGAACCAGAGUGUUUUCACUUCCUUGUGGUCCUUUCGAGGUUGAUUCAAGCAGUGGAGAAAUUUUGUAAAUAAAGGGGCUACAGUUAUAUUUCAGCUACAUUGGAGAUGAAUAAUUUGUGAGUGUAUGGUUUCUCUUCUGUUCUUUGCCGACUCGAUACUUCAUAGUUUUGUCAGCAGUCUCUGGGUAUCCAUCGGUGAUAUCUAGAGAAGGCUAGAGGAAUUGGUAACAAAAUCAAUGAUCCAGGUUGAAUAAAAGAGCCGUCAGUCAUCAUUUUAUAUAGGUUAUAUAGCAGUUGAGUAAGUUGAAAAGAGAUACAAGUAUUUGCAUGUGAAAUAUUAUUCAAGCUUUCUAAUUUCAUUUUAUCUUGUUU